GACGAACGCUGGCGGCGUGCCUAAUACAUGCAAGUUGAGCGAUGAAGCUUGGUGCUUGCACCAAUUUGAAGAGCAGCGAACGGGUGAGUAACGCGUGGGGAAUCUGCCUCUGAGCGGGGGACAACAUUUGGAAACGAAUGCUAAUACCGCAUAACAACUUUAAACAUAAGUUUUAAGUUUGAAAGAUGCAAUUGCAUCACUCAAAGAUGAUCCCGCGUUGUAUUAGCUAGUUGGUGAGGUAAAGGCUCACCAAGGCGAUGAUACAUAGCCGACCUGAGAGGGGGGUCGGCCAAAAUGGGACUGGGAAACGGCCCAAACUCCUACGGGAGGGAGCAGUAGGGGAACUUCGGCAAUGGACGGAAGGCUUGCCGAGCAAAGGCGCGUGGGUGGAGGAGGUUUUCGGAACGUAAAACUCUGUUGGUAGAGAAGAACGUUGUUGGGAGUGGAAAGCGCAUGAAGUGACGGUAACUAACCAGAAAGGGACGGCUAACUACGUG
Molecule: ribosomal RNA, 497 nt
Filed under: uncultured bacterium
Lineage: Bacteria
Description: partial 16S ribosomal RNA
Rfam family: Bacterial small subunit ribosomal RNA
Source: RNAcentral